This 4245-nucleotide long non-coding RNA is filed under the name Xyrichtys novacula (pearly razorfish). The record is from RNAcentral. Lineage: Eukaryota; Metazoa; Chordata; Actinopteri; Labriformes; Labridae.
GAACAAUAAAACAGUAGUGGGACACUUUCCAGUUCCAGAGAGAUGCUUUUAGAAAUCUAUUCAUAGACAAUGUGGACAUGGUUAAAACUGCCAAGGGAUAUGUUACAUGUUUGUAAUGAUGACGGGUUCAGUCGAUGGAUGGAAGCAACACCAUCAAAAGAUCUUGGAGUCAAAAUAAAUCUUUCACUGCAUGAAUUGGUACAUUAUUUUGGGGAAGAAAGUUAAUCUCUCAAGUAAAUAUCUGAUCAGAGAAUUUGCACUAACACUAACCUAUAGGAAGAUGCUUUGCUACUUGCGCUUAUGAGCUUUCACAAUCAAAAGCACUGAGAUAAAUCUUUCACUGCAUGAUUGACUAACUUACAAAGCUAUGCUUUACUGCGGCUAAAUAAUUAAGUUUUUCGCUUGAGCAGCUGAAAAUUAGUGAAUUAAAUAUAUGUGGCAGCUAACUACGAUGCAAAGAUCUAUCGAUUAGCAGGAGGAGUGCCAAAAUCUGAUCCCAGUCAAGAUUAUUAACUAAAACUUUUCUAUCUUAGGUUGCCUUUAAACUUAUUAUUAUUAUUAUUAUUAUUUUUUUCUUAUUUAUCUCUUUUGAAUUUCCAAAUGAUUUAUAAUCAUUGCUAUUUUUUUUCCCAUAUGUUUUGAAAAGGAAAUUGACAGUUUUGGUGAAAUGUUAACCCUCUUUGGCCCUGAGGUUAGACUGAAAUCCAGAUUAUGGCCCUUGCUGUGGUUGAGUUUGACACCCCUGGCCUAGAUUAUGUUCGCUUGGAAAUGCACUGAUAGUAUGUUUUCAAUCUUAAGAAAUGGCACACAGGCUAGCUAUGUGCUGUGGAAAACCACACACCUUGUUGGGCUGAUUGCCAGACUACCACAAACUGAACAGGGGGCAGGGAGAUGGAUAUCGGUUUUUGAGGAUGAACUGUAAAGAAAAUGUUGACUACACCAGACAUGAAAGCACUCUUGGCUCAACUGCUGGGAACUAAGACGAUGGAGAAGUCUCUGCGCAAGGCAAAACAAGGUUGGAUGACGAAUCCCAUGAUAGAUGGGAGUGAGUUCAAUGCAUAUUGUGAUGUGAUGUGGAGUACAGACUCAGGCCACGAUGGUGGCCACCUCUAAGGAAGACACUGCAGAAGAGACCCAGCGAUGCAGACCAUGCAGAUGCUAACUGCGGUAAAACCUGUGACAGUAACCUGUUUAAUCACCUGUUGUGAAUGUUUAUCCUCAGACAGAACCCUGCUCCAUAGAGAGGAUAUAUCCCGGCAGGGGGAGAGAGUGGAAUUCUGACGGACGUGUGACGUCCAAAGACCUGCUGGGGAUGUGAUCAUACCGGACAUUUUUGACAACUGCCCAGACCAGGGACGUCUCUGGCUGGAGCUGUGGUGGGGAGCCCCAGCCCAGACAAUGUGAAAGUGGUGGCUUACUACAGUGUGAUUUUUGUGGAUGAUGGAAAAAGUUAAUUUUUGGUUUUAAUUUUAACCCUGUUGACCUUAUAGACCAAAGAGCCCUAUGUAGAAGUAACAUUCAAAUUUGGUGCUCACCGCAAGGUGUGUAAGUAGACAGUUAUGGUUUAUAGUUUUAAGUAAAUAUCGUGACAUUAGCAUUGUAACAUUCCUGUUCUGUUAGUUUAAUACUGAUAAAUCUAAAUGCAGCUGUGCUGAAUCCACAUACACUCCUGACAGGUGUGCCAUCUAAUGUAAAAGUAAUAGAAAGCUAUCAAAGGCCAGUAAGGCCACAGAAAAUGGUUUAGAGUCAAAUAACUAGUUUUUGUACCAGUAGUAUUAACAAACGAACUUAGGAUCUGACUUUCACAGUGAUUCACACUGUGCAAGGGGGGAGAUGAUGAGACAAUUAAAACGACAUUUUUAGAAUAUGCUGACAAUAGUUGAUAAACUUUUGGGUCAUUGUGAUAUGUGUUUUGUUAGAUAAAAUGAAGAGAACAAUAAAACAGUAGUGGGACACUUUCCAGUUCCAGAGAGAUGCUUUUAGAAAUCUAUUCAUAGACAAUGUGGACAUGGUUAAAACUGCCAAGGGAUAUGUUACAUGUUUGUAAUGAUGACGGGUUCAGUCGAUGGAUGGAAGCAACACCAUCAAAAGAUCUUGGAGUCAAAAUAAAUCUUUCACUGCAUGAAUUGGUACAUUAUUUUGGGGAAGAAAGUUAAUCUCUCAAGUAAAUAUCUGAUCAGAGAAUUUGCACUAACACUAACCUAUAGGAAGAUGCUUUGCUACUUGCGCUUAUGAGCUUUCACAAUCAAAAGCACUGAGAUAAAUCUUUCACUGCAUGAUUGACUAACUUACAAAGCUAUGCUUUACUGCGGCUAAAUAAUUAAGUUUUUCGCUUGAGCAGCUGAAAAUUAGUGAAUUAAAUAUAUGUGGCAGCUAACUACGAUGCAAAGAUCUAUCGAUUAGCAGGAGGAGUGCCAAAAUCUGAUCCCAGUCAAGAGGUGGAGGCCAGUCGAGCCAGAGCAUCAGGUGUACAUCACCGUCCUUUGAGGAGGGUGGCAAAAAGAACGAGGAGAAGACCUGAACACUUUGGUCCUGGUGAAUCUACUUCAGUGCAAGAAGAGGGCAAAAUGAUGUGGCGUCAUCUACCACUGACUGCCCAGAAAAAACAAGGGAAGUAUGACUUGAUGAGAGACACUCCCAGAAUGACUGUAGCACUCGUCCUGAAAGUAACUGUUUUCCUGGUGUUGCUGCUGAGGGACAAUGUGUGGAGAGAGACCGAGAGAGAGACUGGAGACAACAAUGAGGGUGAAGGUCAAACUGGUGCCAGUACAGCUGUGAGAAGAAGAAGUGGGAGACAUUGUUAUCGCGGGUGAGUACGAUGCAACCCAAAACACAAUCCACACCACUCCAGACAGAGCUAGAACCCAUGCCAACAUUCACAGAUUAUUACAGAUUUACAAUGAGGUUAAAUAGAUAAUAAAAUUAAAAAGUAUUUUGUGUGUGGUAAUGUGAGAAUGAGAGAGGAUGUGAAGAGAAAAGAUGUGUCUUAAAAGGUUUUGGAAGUACUGUUGCAGAUACGUUUCUAACAAAACGAGCCCUGGGGGAGGUUUUUCUAAAGCUAUGAAGGGUAUAAAGAAAAGUUUAAAGUGGAAAUGCGGGAGAAUGCUGGUAAGGGGGGCCUGUUGAUGGACUGAAAGUGGUGAAGGGUAAAGAAAAGUUUAAAGUGGAAAUGUGGGAGAAUGCUGGUAAGGGGGGCCUGUUGAUGGACUGGGUGGUCUAAAUUUUAGAUGAAUGAGAGCCGUUUUGGCCCAGCCAUGAGUGCUGCGAUAGCCCUAAUUCUGAUUUCCUUUCUCACAUGUCGCAUCGUACACAUCCUUUGGAGACAUUGUUAUCGCGGCUGACGGAGGAGAUGGGACUUAUGGUGGACCUAACACUGGCCCAUGAACUACAGGAAAUGCCACCAAAACAGCUGGCACAGUGUGUGACUAAUCAAGGAGGGACUGAGGGACCGGAACGGUUCCUGGACUUUGAAGGAGAAGAAGAUGAGCAAUGGACUUUGAGCAACACAAACAACAUGUUUGUGUAAUGUAAUGUAAUGAUAUUAUCAAAUGUGGACACUUUCUUCUAUGCAAAUGAAAUUAUGUCAGCGCAUCCAGGAAAUGGAUGGUCGCCAGGGCGCGGGGCCGUAAGAUUCUUUCCCUGCUGAAACAGCCGAGCAGGGUUUUCAGUCUUACGCGCUGAUAUAAUUUGAAACGAUCCAAGCUAUGGUAUGGUAUGGUACUGAUUUUUGUUUCUUUAAUCACAUAAGGAUGUUUAGUGUUUGAUUUGAUGAUUAGGUUUUUGUGAAAGUAAGAACUUUCAAAGGGGGGAUGUGUAGGGGAAUGUCUUCAUACAUUUAGGUUAAGAAAUAUAGAGUAAUUAUCUUUUAGUAAGAAGGUACAAAUAAUCUAGGUUGGCCUGCUCCUGCUGCCCCACGACCAUGAGAUUGUAAGCAAGGCUGUCUUGCAGGAGCCCAAACUAUCUGUCUGUUGGAACAUGUAAUCUCUGCCAGGGUCAAGACGAACCUAAGCGUCGUGGGGCAGACAUGUCAUCAUGAGGGACCUUCUGGAGAACACACACACACACACACACACACACACACACACACACACACACACACACACACACACAUUUUAACAGCAUAAAAGAGAGUAGAAGUAAAGCUAGAGAGGCUUCCUUGGGUCUUGGUCGAGACUCUAUUUGUCAUCUGUACUGAUUUCUACAUCUGUACAAUUAAAGACGCCCCAGGCUGUUCUUCAGAUCUCA